UUAGGAAUAUUGGGCAAUGGAGGAAACUCUGACCCAGCAACGCCGCGUGAAGGAAGAAGGUUUUCGGACUGUAAACUUCUGAUCUGAGGGAAAAAGAAAGUGAUGGUACCUCAGGAGAAAGCCACGGCUAACUACGUGCCAGCAGCCGCGGUAAUACGUAGGUGGCGAGCGUUGUCCGGAAUGACUGGGCGUAAAGGGAGCGUAGGUUGCGACUUAAGUUAGAUGUGAAAGCCCGUGGCUCAACCACGGAACUGCAUUUAAAACUGGGUUGCUAGAGUACAGGAGGGGUAAGCGGAAUUUCUAGUGUAGCGGUGGAAUGCUUAGAUAUUAGGAAGAACACCAGAGGCGAAGGCGGCUUACUGGACUGCAACUGACACUGAGGCUCGAAAGCGUGGGGAGCAAACAGG
This 407-nucleotide ribosomal RNA is filed under the name uncultured bacterium. Its description in RNAcentral is "bacterial SSU rRNA". It matches the Rfam family "Bacterial small subunit ribosomal RNA", at positions 355 to 776 of the family's 1533-position model. The record is from RNAcentral.